AGCCUUCUUACAUAGUCACCCCAAAAUUGGGGGACUACAUACCGCAUCGUUGUUUAACGAUUCUCUGCGCUUCCUCCUCUCUGCUUCCUCUCUACUUCCUCACUGCUUCGACUCUCUGCUUUGACUCUCUCUGCUCUCUCUUCUACUGGACAGAUAUGGAUGAAGCCAAAUUUUCUUGGUCUUAUUGCUGGAGUUGUGGCACCUAGAGACCAUGUGUGCUUGUACUAUGCUUGCGCUAUUGAUGUUUAAGUUGAGAAGAAGACGUGUUGAAAGACAUGCCCUGAAUAAUCGUUCAUUCGUUAGACAUCAAACUCUGUGUUCAUGUCCUUAGAUGAUGAUGUGAGGCCAGUGUAUGUCCAAAAUCUUCUUACUGUUGCUGCUAGGGGAUCUACCUAGCUUCUUGGUUUAUAUGCUUCUUGGGGGAUUUGCAGUCACUAGCUUCUUGGUUUAUAUGCUUUUUGGGAGAUUUGCAGUCACAUGUUGGAGAAACCACCACAAAGUUAGAUGAACUCAUUUUGUAAUUACUAGAUUAGCAUUCACAUUUUCAUAAUUUGUUGUGUUGUGCAAUGCUAAAUUAGAGUUCAAAUUUCUUUGUUGUAUUUAUUGGUGAACUUGCCAAUGUGUAUAAACUAUAUUGUGACUGUUAUUUUCAUUGUAAACUUAUUAAUCUAUGAACUUUAUUCUUGGUUUAUGAAAUUGAGAAAUGUACUUCAAUGAUC
Fragaria vesca subsp. vesca is the source of this 719-nucleotide RNA transcript. RefSeq lists it as uncharacterized. The record is from RefSeq and is a predicted model, not a curated record. The transcript has 2 exons. Lineage: Eukaryota; Viridiplantae; Streptophyta; Magnoliopsida; Rosales; Rosaceae.